AUUGGCGGCACGGCCAUGGCAGCAGUCUUGCUCCCGGACGACCUCCUCCUCGAGAUACUCAUCCGCGUGAAGGAUGCGGUUGCCCUGUUCCGAUGUGCCACGACGUGCAAGCAGUGGUGCCAUCUCAUCGCCGAUCUGUCCUUUCUUCGACGCCGCUGGCCACAAGACGCCAACCAUUCAUCCUCCACCUUCGUCGGCUUCCUCACCAUGGGCGACAGCGGAGGGCCUUUUCCUCGCCGGGAGCUGUGGUUUGUCCCGACGCCGCGAUCGGCUCUGAGCCCUGGCCCCCGCACCCUGACUUCCUUCGUGCCCGCUGUCCGUGCAAGCCUAUUUGACCAUGCGGUGCCGCUCGUAUCGCGCCAUGGCCUUGUUGUCCUUCUCCUUGAACAGCGCGACGUCCAUGACCGCGUGGACCAGACCAUCGUCCAAUUGGCGGUAUGCAAUCCGCUUGUCGGCACGUGCGACAUGCUCCCUGCUCUAAAGUUCAGCUCGCCCUUCGAUCACAUGGACAAUGGCUAUGCCAUUCUAACCGGUGCGGAUUGUUGGUCCGACGGUGAGUCAUCGCAGCCGGUUGAGCCGCGCAACUCGUCUUUCUUCAAAGUGGUAAUCGUCGGCUCGGGCUGCCAUGAUGUCAAGUAUAGUGUCUUUGUGUUCUCGUCUGACAACGGAAGCUGGAGUGUCGUGCAUACCAAUUUAUUGGACAUUACUCAAGAAUGGGGCCACUACGGGCUGUUUAGCGAUGCCAUUGUGUGCCGUGGCAUGGCACAAUGGGUAUUUAUUUAUAACGCAGAACAAUAUUUUCGUGUCAUAAGUCUGAAUGCCCGGACCGGCAACAUCUCUACCACAAAGCACCGUUUCAAAAUUAACUACGACUUCCUCCAGACUAACCCGUGCCUUACACUAGCCAUGGAUGAGAGACUAUCACUGGUAAGUACUCAAUGGAAAAUUCCCCAACUGGAUAUCUGGCAACAAAAAGAAAACCAAGAAAAUAUUAACGCUACAUCCGAAUGGCUAUGCACCCGGACCAUCGAGCUAAAACUACUUGAGAAGAUGACUCGAGGAAGAGAGCUACGUGUCUUGGGGGAGAAGUGCGGCACACUGCUCAUCAGCGACGACCACCGCAAGCUCAUUUACACCAUCGCCCUCGAAACUGGGACGAUUGAGGAGGUGGAGGAUUGGCCACGUGGUGUCGACAUCUCCCGUUGGGAUGCCAUAGCCAUGGAGAUUGAGUGGCCUGCAAUCUUCAUUUCUCGGCUU
This 1257-nucleotide ribosomal RNA is filed under the name Triticum aestivum (bread wheat). Its description in RNAcentral is "partial small subunit ribosomal RNA". The record is from RNAcentral. Lineage: Eukaryota; Viridiplantae; Streptophyta; Magnoliopsida; Poales; Poaceae.